CCUACGGGGUGCAGCAGUCGAGAAUCAUUCACAAUGGGGGAAACCCUGAUGGUGCGACGCCGCGUGGGGGAAUGAAGGUCUUCGGAUUGUAAACCCCUGUCAUGUGGGAGCAAAUUAAAAAGAUAGUACCACACGAGGAAGAGACGGCUAACUCUGUGCCAGCAGCCGCGGUAAUACAGAGGUCUCAAGCGUUGUUCGGAAUCACUGGGCGUAAAGCGUGCGUAGGCUGUUUCGUAAGUCGUGUGUGAAAGGCGCGGGCUCAACCCGCGGACGGCACAUGAUACUGCGAGACUAGAGUAAUGGAGGGGGAACCGGAAUUCUCGGUGUAGCAGUGAAAUGCGUAGAUAUCGAGAGGAACACUCGUGGCGAAGGCGGGUUCCUGGACAUUAACUGACGCUGAGGCACGAAGGCCAGGGGAGCGAAAGGGAUUAGAUACCCCUGUAGUC
RNAcentral lists this ribosomal RNA (446 nucleotides) under uncultured bacterium. RNAcentral's name for it is "partial 16S ribosomal RNA". It matches the Rfam family "Bacterial small subunit ribosomal RNA", at positions 338 to 795 of the family's 1533-position model. The record is from RNAcentral.